AGCCCUCUGUAUCCGCGCUGAGACUUCGUCAGAGAUCAACCCGCUGGGGCUGGUGCAACUUCCCAAAUAAAUGAAGCU
This 78-nucleotide microRNA precursor is filed under the name Trichobilharzia regenti. RNAcentral describes it as "mir-3492 microRNA precursor family". It matches the Rfam family "mir-3492 microRNA precursor family". Lineage: Eukaryota; Metazoa; Platyhelminthes; Trematoda; Strigeidida; Schistosomatidae. The record is from Rfam by way of RNAcentral.